AUGCUUACCUGGCAGGGGAGAUACCAUGGUCACGAAGGUGGUUUUCCCAGGGCGAGGCUUAUCCGUUGCACUCCAGAUGUGCUGACGCUGUGACUCCCCAAAUGUGGGAAACUCAACUGCACUACUGUGGUAGUGGGGGACUGCGUUCGCUCACUCCCCUG
Molecule: small nuclear RNA, 161 nt
Organism: Ochotona princeps (American pika)
Lineage: Eukaryota; Metazoa; Chordata; Mammalia; Lagomorpha; Ochotonidae
Gene: U1
Rfam family: U1 spliceosomal RNA
About the family: U1 is a small nuclear RNA (snRNA) component of the spliceosome (involved in pre-mRNA splicing). Its 5' end forms complementary base pairs with the 5' splice junction, thus defining the 5' donor site of an intron.
Source: Ensembl